GUCAGAACCAGCGUGGAUUGAGGAUAGC
This 28-nucleotide small RNA is filed under the name Bombyx mori (domestic silkworm). RNAcentral describes it as "ovarian small RNA-17713". The record is from RNAcentral. Lineage: Eukaryota; Metazoa; Arthropoda; Insecta; Lepidoptera; Bombycidae.